CUCUCUCUCUCUCUCUCUCUCUCUCUCUCUCUCUCUCUCUCUCUCUCUCUCUCUCUCUCUCUCUCCAACAACGACGACGACAGCAAAGAAGGUGAAGGGGGUGAUGAUGGCGAGGGACAUAUCGACAACAAUGACGAUAAGGGUGAGCCCAUACCUUCAUCGAUGACGACGACAGCAACGACGAGAGGGUUGGGAAAAGUUAUUUAUACCUGGAGUGGAAGCAAGAAGUUAUUACAUUUUCUCAAUUUCUUGAGAGAAUUAAGGCUAAUGGCUCUUCCUUUAUUGCCCCAACAUAUCUUGAGAGGAUUUGCAUCUCAUAUUCACCAAGUGCAACUUUUGAAAUUAUUCUUAUAAACUGGUACUUUUAAACUUUUACUAAUUUGUUCUUUUGUGUUUUUGGUAGAAACAGAUCAUUGGAGCUUCUGAGAUGCGGCAACAAAGAAAAUUGAGCUGUAAUUUAAAAUUUGGUCGUAAUUUAGUUUGCUUCAUUAUAAUUUUGGUUGUAAUUUUAAAUUUAAUGUUGGAUUAUUUUAUUAUUUUUGCAAAAGAAUGAUUGCUUUAUUCAA
Prunus persica (peach) is the source of this 566-nucleotide long non-coding RNA. RefSeq lists it as uncharacterized. The transcript has 2 exons. NCBI's taxonomy places the organism in Eukaryota, Viridiplantae, Streptophyta, Magnoliopsida, Rosales, Rosaceae. The record is from RefSeq and is a predicted model, not a curated record.